Molecule: ribosomal RNA, 1372 nt
Filed under: uncultured bacterium
Lineage: Bacteria
Description: bacterial SSU rRNA
Rfam family: Bacterial small subunit ribosomal RNA
Source: RNAcentral
GAUGAACGCUGGCGGCGUGCCUAAUACAUGCAAGUCGAGCGAACGGACGAGAAGCUUGCUUCUCUGAUGUUAGCGGCGGACGGGUGAGUAACACGUGGAUAACCUACCUAUAAGACUGGGAUAACUUCGGGAAACCGGAGCUAAUACCGGAUAAUAUUUUGAACCGCAUGGUUCAAAAGUGAAAGACGGUCUUGCUGUCACUUAUAGAUGGAUCCGCGCUGCAUUAGCUAGUUGGUAAGGUAACGGCUUACCAAGGCAACGAUGCAUAGCCGACCUGAGAGGGUGAUCGGCCACACUGGAACUGAGACACGGUCCAGACUCCUACGGGAGGCAGCAGUAGGGAAUCUUCCGCAAUGGGCGAAAGCCUGACGGAGCAACGCCGCGUGAGUGAUGAAGGUCUUCGGAUCGUAAAACUCUGUUAUUAGGGAAGAACAUAUGUGUAAGUAACUGUGCACAUCUUGACGGUACCUAAUCAGAAAGCCACGGCUAACUACGUGCCAGCAGCCGCGGUAAUACGUAGGUGGCAAGCGUUAUCCGGAAUUAUUGGGCGUAAAGCGCGCGUAGGCGGUUUUUUAAGUCUGAUGUGAAAGCCCACGGCUCAACCGUGGAGGGUCAUUGGAAACUGGAAAACUUGAGUGCAGAAGAGGAAAGUGGAAUUCCAUGUGUAGCGGUGAAAUGCGCAGAGAUAUGGAGGAACACCAGUGGCGAAGGCGACUUUCUGGUCUGUAACUGACGCUGAUGUGCGAAAGCGUGGGGAUCAAACAGGAUUAGAUACCCUGGUAGUCCACGCCGUAAACGAUGAGUGCUAAGUGUUAGGGGGUUUCCGCCCCUUAGUGCUGCAGCUAACGCAUUAAGCACUCCGCCUGGGGAGUACGACCGCAAGGUUGAAACUCAAAGGAAUUGACGGGGACCCGCACAAGCGGUGGAGCAUGUGGUUUAAUUCGAAGCAACGCGAAGAACCUUACCAAAUCUUGACAUCCUUUGACAACUCUAGAGAUAGAGCCUUCCCCUUCGGGGGACAAAGUGACAGGUGGUGCAUGGUUGUCGUCAGCUCGUGUCGUGAGAUGUUGGGUUAAGUCCCGCAACGAGCGCAACCCUUAAGCUUAGUUGCCAUCAUUAAGUUGGGCACUCUAAGUUGACUGCCGGUGACAAACCGGAGGAAGGUGGGGAUGACGUCAAAUCAUCAUGCCCCUUAUGAUUUGGGCUACACACGUGCUACAAUGGACAAUACAAAGGGCAGCGAAACCGCGAGGUCAAGCAAAUCCCAUAAAGUUGUUCUCAAUUCGGAUUGUAGUCUGCAACUCGACUACAUGAAGCUGGAAUCGCUAGUAAUCGUAGAUCAGCAUGCUACGGUGAAUACGUUCCCGGGUCU